GACGAACGCUGGCGGCGUGCCUAAUACAUGCAAGUCGAACGCAGUGGGGACGGGUGAGUAACACGUGGGUAACCUCCCAUCAGAGGGGAUAACACUUGGAAACCGGUGCUAAACCGAUACUGAUGGAUGGACCCGCGGUGCAUGAGCUAGUUGGGGGGGUAACGGCUCACAAAGGCCACGAUGCCUAGCCGACCUGUGAGAGGGAUCGGCCACACUGGGACGACGCCACGUCCCAGACUCCUACGGGAGGCAGCAGUAGGUAAUCUUCUGCAAUGGACGAAAGUCUGACAGAGCAACGCCGCGUGAGUGAAGAAGGUUUUCGGAGCGUAAAACUCUGUUGUCUGAGAAGCGGUAUCUAACCAGAAAGCCACGGCUAACUACGUGCCAGCAGCCGCGGUAAUAC
This 403-nucleotide ribosomal RNA is filed under the name uncultured bacterium. RNAcentral's name for it is "partial 16S ribosomal RNA". It matches the Rfam family "Bacterial small subunit ribosomal RNA", at positions 28 to 526 of the family's 1533-position model. The record is from RNAcentral.